RNAcentral lists this transfer RNA (58 nucleotides) under Poecilia formosa (Amazon molly). It matches the Rfam family "tRNA", at positions 8 to 63 of the family's 71-position model. Rfam says of the family: Transfer RNA (tRNA) molecules are approximately 80 nucleotides in length. Lineage: Eukaryota; Metazoa; Chordata; Actinopteri; Cyprinodontiformes; Poeciliidae. The record is from Rfam by way of RNAcentral.
UGGCUCUGUGGGUAGAGUAGUUGUCUUGUGAUCAAAAGGUUGUAGGUUCAAUUCCUGC